Molecule: non-coding RNA, 2657 nt
Organism: Manis javanica (Malayan pangolin)
Lineage: Eukaryota; Metazoa; Chordata; Mammalia; Pholidota; Manidae
Source: RefSeq, a predicted model, not a curated record
GCUCUGGAGGGGCUUCCGGGAGGCGGCAGCCACACUGGCAUGGAAGAGGCCAGGCCUUCUCUUGGAGCAGUCAGCCCUUGGGGUCUGAGCUCCAGCUUGUCCACACACAGCCGUGGCUGACCUUGAAUCCGUUACUUAACCUUCCUGCUUCCCGUUCCUUGUCCAGGAAACAGGAAUGAUGAAACCUAGCUCACAGGUUGUCAUGAGAGGGUAAAGGAGCUAAUGCCAGCGGGACCCACCUGGCCCAGCACACCCUCAGCACCUGCGCCCUGAACACCCCAGAUGAUGCUGCAGUUCAGCAUUUUAAGUCAACAUCCCCACCUUUGACAUCUGUCUCUGAUGGGGCUGCCAUAAGAAAUGACCACAGACUGGUGCAAAUCCCAGGAAUCCAUUCUGCAGGCAGGAGGUCUGCGAUCUGGGUGCUGGAAGGGCUGCUCCCCUGGAGGCUCCUGGGAAGAACGUCUCUGGCCUCCCUCCCAGCUUCUGGCAGUUGCCGCUAACUCGGGCACUUCUCAGCCUGUGGGUGCAUCACCCUGACCUCUGACUCCAUGUGGCCACCUGGCCUUCUCCCUGUGUGUCCCUCUCUUCUCUCUUGUAAGGACACUUGUCAUGGGGUUUACAGCCCACCGUAAAUAAGUCCAGGAUGGUCUCAUCCUGACAUCCUUAAUUAUAUUUGCAAAGACUCCUUUCCCAAAUCCAGUCACAUUUGCAGGUACCAGGGACGAGGACUUGGGCAUAUAUUUUGGGGAAACACAGGUCUACCCACAACACUGCUGUACCCCAACACCUGGCACCAUUGCAGGAGGAGCCGGCUUUUCUGCUCUUGGAGUUGGCAGGCGAUCUAAAACACCCUGGCACCAUUUCUGGACCUCACGCUCUCCUUGAUGCUGCCCCCCAACCUCCUGGGUAGAAAGGGCUGGGAUGGGGUAAAGGGUAGGGGCCUGCAGUGGGGUGUGGGCCCAGCUGGGACAGGAAACAGCAGCCACAUUUGCUGACCCGGCGUAAUGGGUCUGUCCACUCAAAGGCUGAGUGUGAACCAGCUUCAGUGGUGCCACUUUGCUAGUGUUUCCCACGCAGACCAAGGCAGACAGACGCCAUGCCUCGUCUAGGGCCACACGCAAGGCACAGGCCUGUCCAGGGCCGUAUGGCUGGUCAACAGAGGGGCCCUGAGCCGGGUCUGCUUCAGAUCCCCUGUCCUGCCCUGUGCAGAUUGCUUCUUUGAUUUUAAUUUCUCUUCUGGUUCAAGUGUGGAGGUUUAGAAAUGAAUGCCCGAACCAGCAACCCGAAGCCUUCCCGCUUUACUGGCAAAUCGUUUGGUGUAGGGUUUCAGGUGCCAUACAUCUUUACCUAGAGGGUCCCCUGCCUCUGGCUCCAGCCAGGAAUGGUGCUGAUUAGGGUCACCUCUGCACCCCGAGGCGCUUUCACCCCAGCGCCUGCAGAUGCCUCUGUCCCUAAUUUUUCGUUCUCUCUCCUGCCAGCUGAAGCGCUUGUAAAAGUCGGACAGGUCGCUGGCAUCCUGUCUUGGACUGCCAGUCAUGUUAGUGGGGGGGCUUCAGAAGGCUGUGUGGACCCCUGUCCAUGCAACCCCCUUUUCCUACUCUCUGCGGGACCGAAGCAGGACUGCAGGAGGGGAGCAGCCCUGGGGAGGUGGGAGGAAGCGGUUUGCUUUGGACAUGAGGCCACACUGGUCAGGUGAGCCCCCAUUAUUUUCCUGUGGACCAAAGGCUAUUUUUAUCAUUUCUGGCAGAGAAAGAGACAAAAACAUUGAAAAGCAGCCUUUUGAGAAUUCUUUUCACACAAGCUAGAUGGUGAUUUGGCCAAAUGUGAAAGGGACAUGCAGUCUCUCCUCUCCCUGGAUUAGCUGAAGCUCCACUUCAGGCCUGACGCCCUGUGUGAGACCCUGUCCAAGGCGUGUGGCGGGUGGGACCAGGGGGAGUGGGGACUGCUGCUCAGGGUCCUCCUGGUCUGAGUGUGGGUGCCUUCCAUGCGGUGUCUGACACCUGCAAACACCGGGAUCAGGACAACAAACCGGUGAGUACCUAGGAGGAGGAGUCGGUGAAUCCCAAGGUGGAAGUGGGCGUCUUGCUACCAUUUGGCUAAGGGCCCUCGGGAUGGAAACUCGAGCUGGGGUCUGAGCCCGAGGCGGCCCACGCCUGUCCAGAGCUCCAGGCUGAGCUCCGUGGGGGUCGGAAGCCUUGGCCGACAGGGAGCAGAGGGCUUCACUUCCCCCCUCCUGCACCAGGGGGCAGUGCCCCACAGCAGAGCGCCUGUCACCGGAAUCCUGCGCGCAAAGCCGUGCCUGUCAGCUCUUCUGGCCGAACGUGUGCGUGGAAUGCAGUGCCAGUAAAAUGUCCAGUGCAAGGAGCGGGACAAUGUGACUCCUGAGUCCCCUGGGAGAAUGAUGGAUGAGAAUCAGCAGUCUACACCUGGGGGAGACACAAAGGCAUGAUGUGGACGGAGUCCCCUGAGCCUGUGGUCAGGAGGCCCCCUGAGGAUGAGGCCACUUCCUCAUUGCCUUGGCGCAGGGCAGGGGCGAAGCCCAGGGUGGGGGUGGGGGCGUCAGCUCAAACGCCCAAGGACAGAUGCUGUGUCCCAUCAGUGGAAGGCUGGCAGCUAAUGACACUGGGGCCACUGAAUAACCAUGCAGUCUCCGUGCC